RNAcentral lists this unclassified non-coding RNA (204 nucleotides) under Hevea brasiliensis (rubber tree). Lineage: Eukaryota; Viridiplantae; Streptophyta; Magnoliopsida; Malpighiales; Euphorbiaceae. The record is from RNAcentral.
UUUAAGUUAGGGUUCUCUUUCCAAUUGUGCCAUAGAAUUAAUAAUUAUAAUGAAAGCAUGUAAAUAUAUGAAAACAUAUAUUCAGAUAAGAAUAAAAGUGUUGUGUUAUAGUAUCUUGUUUUAAGAGUAAAGCAGGUGAGAUAUUGGAAAAGGAUAAAUUUUAAGAGUUGUCCUUGAAUUUGGUCAUAACAAAAAUAAUCCUGA